CAGCCGCCGCGGUAAUACGAAGGGUGCAAGCGUUAAUCGGAAUUACUGGGCGUAAAGCGCACGCAGGCGGUUUGUUAAGUCAGAUGUGAAAUCCCCGAGCUUAACUUGGGAACUGCAUUUGAAACUGGCAAGCUAGAGUCUUGUAGAGGGGGGUAGAAUUCCAGGUGUAGCGGUGAAAUGCGUAGAGAUCUGGAGGAAUACCGGUGGCGAAGGCGGCCCCCUGGACAAAGACUGACGCUCAGGUGCGAAAGCGUGGGGAGCAAACAGGAUUAGAUACCCCUGUAGUCCCUGUCUCUUAUAC
Molecule: ribosomal RNA, 301 nt
Filed under: uncultured bacterium
Lineage: Bacteria
Description: partial 16S ribosomal RNA
Rfam family: Bacterial small subunit ribosomal RNA
Source: RNAcentral